GGCUCUAUAGCUCUGGGGUUAGAGCACUGGCCUUGUAAACCGAGGGUCGCGAGUUCAGAUCUCGCUGGGGACU
This is a non-coding RNA of Podarcis lilfordi (Lilford's wall lizard), 73 nucleotides long. The record is from the annotation of a GenBank genome assembly. NCBI's taxonomy places the organism in Eukaryota, Metazoa, Chordata, Lepidosauria, Squamata, Lacertidae.